Molecule: ribosomal RNA, 450 nt
Filed under: uncultured bacterium
Lineage: Bacteria
Description: partial 16S ribosomal RNA
Rfam family: Bacterial small subunit ribosomal RNA
Source: RNAcentral
CCUACGGGCGGCUGCAGUGGGGAAUCUUGCGCAAUGGACGAAAGUCUGACGCAGCGACGCCGCGUGGGUGAUGAAGGCCUUCGGGUUGUAAAGCCCUGUGGGGAGAGAAGAAUAAGUGCGGGCUAAUACCCCGCAUGAUGACGGUAUCUCCUUAGCAAGCACCGGCUAACUCUGUGCCAGCAGCCGCGGUAAGACAGAGGGUGCAAACGUUGUUCGGAAUUGUGUGUAGGAAAGCGUAUAUGUGCGAUCUGAAAGCCCCGGGCUCAACCCGGGAAGUGCACUCGAUACUGUUAGGCUAGAGUACUGGAGAGGUUGGUGGAAUUCUCGGUGUAGAGGUGAAAUUCGUAGAUAUCGAGAGGAACACCGGUGGCGAAGGCGGCCAACUGGACAGAUACUGACGCUGAGACACGAAAGCGUGGGGAGCAAACAGGAUUAGAUACCCCGGUAGUC